CAAUCUCUCCCCUUUUUGCAAGGAAACGUCUCAGCCGUGGGAGCUGGAGUUUCUGCGGCGGCUACAGCAGCUUUGACAGCUGUGAUGAGCAGCCCGGCUAUGGCUUUGGUGGACGACAGGAUGUCAACUGAGGGAACCGGCUUGCCCUUUGGACUUAGCAACAACCUCUUGGGAUGGAUUCUUUUGGGAGUGUUUGGUUUGAUCUGGACUUUCUACUUUACCUACACUUCUUCUCUGGACGAGGAUGAAGAAUCUGGUCUUUCACUCUAAACAUGAACUGUAUAUGUUCUUCAUCAGUGUCAUCGCUCUCCUUUUCCAUUUUCGUGAUCGGAAGAGGUCGU
Brassica napus (rape) is the source of this 341-nucleotide long non-coding RNA. RefSeq lists it as uncharacterized. NCBI's taxonomy places the organism in Eukaryota, Viridiplantae, Streptophyta, Magnoliopsida, Brassicales, Brassicaceae. The transcript is spliced from 3 exons. The record is from RefSeq and is a predicted model, not a curated record.